UCUUCCGUAGUAUAGUGGUCAGUAUGCAAGCUUGUCAAACACAAUAAACGCUUGAGACCCGGGUUCAAUUCCCGGCGGGAGAG
Fusarium oligoseptatum is the source of this 83-nucleotide non-coding RNA. The record is from the annotation of a GenBank genome assembly. NCBI's taxonomy places the organism in Eukaryota, Fungi, Ascomycota, Sordariomycetes, Hypocreales, Nectriaceae.